UACGAAGGGGGCUAGCGUUGUUCGGAAUUACUGGGCGUAAAGCGUGCGCAGGCGGUUCGUUGUGUCGGCGGUGAAAGCCCCGGGCUUUACCUGGGAAUGGCCGUUGAAACUGGCGAACUGGAGUGUGGCAGAGGGGGGUGGAAUUCCGCGUGUAGCAGUGAAAUGCGUAGAGAUGCGGAGGAACACCGAUGGCGAAGGCAGCCCCCUGGGCUAACACUGACGCUCAGGCACGAAAGCGUGGGGAGCAAACAGG
This 253-nucleotide ribosomal RNA is filed under the name uncultured bacterium. RNAcentral's name for it is "partial 16S ribosomal RNA". It matches the Rfam family "Bacterial small subunit ribosomal RNA", at positions 524 to 776 of the family's 1533-position model. The record is from RNAcentral.